Molecule: transfer RNA, 76 nt
Filed under: Pseudomonadota bacterium
Lineage: Bacteria; Pseudomonadati; Pseudomonadota
Also listed under: 1 other name
Description: Proteobacteria bacterium (groundwater metagenome) tRNA-Thr
Rfam family: tRNA
About the family: Transfer RNA (tRNA) molecules are approximately 80 nucleotides in length.
Source: RNAcentral
GCCGAUGUAGCUCAGACGGUAGAGCAGCUGAUUCGUAAUCAGCAGGUCCGCAGUUCAAUCCUGCGCAUCGGCUCCA